GUGGGGAAUCUUCCGCAAUGGACGAAAGUCUGACGGAGCAACGCCGCGUGAGUGAUGAAGGUCUUCGGAUUGUAAAGCUCUGUUAAUCGGGACGAAAGAGCCUAGUGUGAAUAAUGCUAGGAAGUGACGGUACCGGAAUAGAAAGCCACGGCUAACUACGUGCCAGCAGCCGCGGUAAUACGUAGGUGGCAAGCGUUGUCCGUAAUUAUUUGGCGUAAAGCGCGCGCAGGCGGAUCUGCCAGUCUGUCUUAAAAGUUCGGGGCUUAACCCCGUGAUGGGAUGGAAACUACAGAUCUAGAGUAUCGGAGAGGAAAGUGGAAUUCCUAGUGUAGCGGUGAAAUGCGUAGAUAUUAGGAAGAACACCAGUGGCGAAGGCGACUUUCUGGACGAAAACUGACGCUGAGGCGCGAAAGCCAGGGGAGCGAACGGGAUUAGAUACCCGGGUAGUCC
Molecule: ribosomal RNA, 450 nt
Filed under: uncultured bacterium
Lineage: Bacteria
Description: partial 16S ribosomal RNA
Rfam family: Bacterial small subunit ribosomal RNA
Source: RNAcentral